UACGAAGGGGGCGAGCGUUGUUCGGAUUUACUGGGCGUAAAGGGCGCGCAGGCGGCGAUCUUUGUCAGGCGUGAAAGCCCCGGGCUUAACCUGGGAACUGCGCUUGGGACGGGAUUGCUGGAGACCGGGAGAGGAGAGUGGAAUUCCCAGUGUAGAGGUGAAAUUCGUAGAUAUUGGGAAGAACACCGGUGGCGAAGGCGGCUCUCUGGGGACCACCUGACGCUGAGGCGCGAAAGCGUGGGGAGCGAACCGG
RNAcentral lists this ribosomal RNA (253 nucleotides) under uncultured bacterium. RNAcentral's name for it is "partial 16S ribosomal RNA". It matches the Rfam family "Bacterial small subunit ribosomal RNA", at positions 524 to 776 of the family's 1533-position model. The record is from RNAcentral.